Molecule: long non-coding RNA, 326 nt
Filed under: Homo sapiens (human)
Lineage: Eukaryota; Metazoa; Chordata; Mammalia; Primates; Hominidae
Description: non-protein coding lnc-BDNF-4:1
Source: RNAcentral
UGAUCCAUAUAGACUAGAAAUUACUAUCCUCACUAUACAGAAAAUGGAACUGAAGAGCAGAGGAAUCUGUUAACUUGCAGAAGGUCACAUCGGCAAUAAAGGGUAAAGCUCCCAUUUGAACCCAGUUCUGCCAGACCCUGGAGACUAUGUUACUAAUCACCAUGGCACCUGGCUCCCACUUGCUAUUUCUGAGCUCAUCUUCCCCAUCUGAAAAAAAAAAAUAACCCAUGCCUACCUUCCAGGAUUUCUAGAGAGGAGCAUAUGAAACCGUGGAUCGAAGGGGCUUUGUACAUUAAAAGAAAUGUAAAAAAUUUUUACUUAUGAUC